GCCGCCGUAGCUCAGCCCGGCUAGAGCGCCGGACUCAUACGGUCCCUGAGAAAUCCGGUUGUCCGGGGUUCAAAUCCCCGCGGCGGCA
This 88-nucleotide transfer RNA is filed under the name Sulfodiicoccus acidiphilus. It matches the Rfam family "tRNA". From Rfam's summary of the family: Transfer RNA (tRNA) molecules are approximately 80 nucleotides in length. The record is from Rfam by way of RNAcentral. Lineage: Archaea; Thermoproteati; Thermoproteota; Thermoprotei; Sulfolobales; Sulfolobaceae.